Molecule: long non-coding RNA, 1667 nt
Organism: Lampris incognitus (smalleye Pacific opah)
Lineage: Eukaryota; Metazoa; Chordata; Actinopteri; Lampriformes; Lampridae
Exons: 6
Source: RefSeq, a predicted model, not a curated record
AGAAAGUUUGCUACUAACCUAGCAAUAUUACGUUUACAGUCUAAUAUUACGAGAAGACGAUCUAAGUUGGAGUUUGUUUUUUUAUCUAUGCAUGUGCGUCCAUGAGGAUAUUGCAUACCUCCACCUCUCCAGGCUCUCCUCAACCUGCACCCUACUCUCGCUACAGAUCACAAUGUCAUCCGCGAACAUCAUCGUCCAUGGAGACUCCUGCCUGAUCUUGUCCGUCAACCUGUCCAUCACCAUUGCAAACAAGCAUCCUCUCACUUUCCAGGAUUGUGUUAAACAAUCUAGUUAAAAACUCCACUGCCAUCUCCCCUAAACAUCUCCAUGUCUCCACAGCUCAUUCUCUGGAGACUCAAGAAAGGAAGGAAGAAAGAAAGGGAAAAGGGAAAGAAGGCAAAUAGGUAGGCAGGGUAUUAAGAUGGCGAGGCUCCUGGAGUCUCACAUAAGGAAUGACUGUAAUUUUGAAGAUUCUGCCAAGAGACACCUUGACAGGUCUUCUGUCUGAAGGGUGGAAAUGCUUUGAUGCAGGAGCUAUUGAGAAGACUGACAUGGUCUGGCACCAUGUACCUCAUUCCUGCAGAUAUACACACCAAAUGUAUUAUCCGAUUUACAGUGACCUCACAGUUCAUCACAUCAGAUGACAUCCUCAAAGAUUGGAACAUUAUCUCCAAGACAGGUUCCAAUCUUCUCACAGAGAUGCAACCUCUUAGUCAUACUGAGGAACUGCAGGAGGAUGAGGUAACAAGAAUUUGCUCAAGAGGUGACACUGAACACACCUCAGGCAUGGACAAGAAGAAUAACUUUGACUCAGAGCCACCGUUGGAGGAGACAGACAGUUCUGCCUCCAGACUUGACAAAAGCCAAGUGGAGCUGUGGAUAGACAAGGCUUAUGACAGAUCAAGGAGGCCAAUACGCUCUCUUAGUUGCCAUAGUGAGCCGCUGCCUUGCACCAAUAUUGGGCCACUGUCUCGGUAUGACUUUGAGCCAAAGCCUGGUCCUAAAGAUCCUGUAGUUUGUCCCCCGAUGACUGAUUCCAACUCAAGGCCUUUGCCUUCAGAUACAAGAGCAGGCCCCCUGUUCAAGACUCCAGAGUUUCCCUCAAGCAGAGCCGGCCCUAACUAACAUGGCACCCAAGGCAAGAUUGUCUGUGGCGCCCCCUUGUGACCAGAAAUGUGUGCUUUAAAAGCUGGAGGUAGUUUUUUUUUAGGGCGUCAUUGAGCAAAAAUUUCAUAAUAACCUUUCAGCAUAUUGUGAUUCAAUUGGUCUGAGAGAAAACUAGACUUCUGCUUGUCCACUUGGCUCUGUAUUCAGGCUUUAAAAAAAAUCUAGCCCGGGAAGAUUUUACUCAAUCAUGGGUCAUUUCAGAGAGCGGGCGUUCCUACUGGCUGUUCUACAAAUGGAGAUGCGCGUGUACGUGAUCAAUUUGCGUCCACCCUGCCCCACCGAUCGCUUGUGGUUGUAAACCUAACCCAUUAAAUCAACAAAUCGAAAUUGCUGCUUCACAUGAAGAAUAUUAGUGUAACAAAGAGAGUCUUGCUUUGUUUUGUUGUGUAUUAAGAUGUGUAUUUUUGUUAAUAACAUAAGAAUAGAGCUAGUUGUUGGUAGACAUAUUGUACCACAUAUCCCAUGAGCCUCAGACUGUUGGAAGUUCCCAAGUUUACAGG